AGAGAGCUUGCUUUUUAAGCUUAGUGGCGAACGGGUGAGUAACGCGUGAGUAACCUGCCCUAGAGUGGGGGACAACAGUUGGAAACGACUGCUAAUACCGCAUAAGCCCACGGUACCGCAUGGUGCUGAGGGAAAAGGAUUUAUUCGCUUUAGGAUGGACUCGCGUCCAAUUAGCUAGUUGGUGAGGUAACGGCCCACCAAGGCGACGAUUGGUAGCCGGACUGAGAGGUUGAACGGCCACAUUGGGACUGAGACACGGCCCAGACUCCUACGGGAGGCAGCAGUGGGGGAUAUUGCACAAUGGGGGAAACCCUGAUGCAGCGACGCCGCGUGGAGGAAGAAGGUUUUCGGAUUGUAAACUCCUGUCGUUAGGGACGAUAAUGACGGUACCUAACAAGAAAGCACCGGCUAACUACGUGCCAGCAGCCGCGGUAAAACGUAGGGUGCAAGCGUUGUCCGGAAUUACUGGGUGUAAAGGGAGCGCAGGCGGGAAGACAAGUUGGAAGUGAAAACCAUGGGCUCAACCCAUGAAUUGCUUUCAAAACUGUUUUUCUUGAGUAGUGCAGAGGUAGAUGGAAUUCCCGGUGUAGCGGUGGAAUGCGUAGAUAUCGGGAGGAACACCAGUGGCGAAGGCGGUCUACUGGGCACCAACUGACGCUGAGGCUCGAAAGCAUGGGUAGCAAACAGGAUUAGAUACCCUGGUAGUCCAUGCCGUAA
RNAcentral lists this ribosomal RNA (717 nucleotides) under uncultured bacterium. RNAcentral describes it as "bacterial SSU rRNA". It matches the Rfam family "Bacterial small subunit ribosomal RNA", at positions 73 to 805 of the family's 1533-position model. The record is from RNAcentral.